AUUGAACGCUGGCGGCAGGCCUAACACAUGCAAGUCGAACGGUAACAGGAAACAGCUUGCUGUUUCGCUGACGAGUGGCGGACGGGUGAGUAAUGUCUGGGAAGCUGCCUGAUGGAGGGGGAUAACUACUGGAAACGGUAGCUAAUACCGCAUAACGUCGCAAGACCAAAGAGGGGGACCUUCGGGCCUCUUGCCAUCGGAUGUGCCCAGAUGGGAUUAGCUAGUAGGUGGGGUAACGGCUCACCUAGGCGACGAUCCCUAGCUGGUCUGAGAGGAUGACCAGCCACACUGGAACUGAGACACGGUCCAGACUCCUACGGGAGGCAGCAGUGGGGAAUAUUGCACAAUGGGCGCAAGCCUGAUGCAGCCAUGCCGCGUGUAUGAAGAAGGCCUUCGGGUUGUAAAGUACUUUCAGCGGGGAGGAAGGGAGUAAAGUUAAUACCUUUGCUCAUUGACGUUACCCGCAGAAGAAGCACCGGCUAACUCCGUG
Molecule: ribosomal RNA, 490 nt
Filed under: uncultured bacterium
Lineage: Bacteria
Description: partial 16S ribosomal RNA
Rfam family: Bacterial small subunit ribosomal RNA
Source: RNAcentral